GUGCUCACUUUGGCAGCACAUAUACUAAAAUUGGAAUGAUACAAAGAAGAUUAGUAUGGCCGUUGUGCAAGGAUGACACACACAUUUGUGAAGUGUUGAAAGUGAUA
This is a small nuclear RNA of Otolemur garnettii (small-eared galago), 107 nucleotides long. The record is from Ensembl. NCBI's taxonomy places the organism in Eukaryota, Metazoa, Chordata, Mammalia, Primates, Galagidae.